GACGAACGCUGGCGGCGUGCUUAACACAUGCAAGUCGAACGGAAAGGCCCUGCUUUUGUGGGGUGCUCGAGUGGCGAACGGGUGAGUAACACGUGAGUAACCUGCCCUUGACUUUGGGAUAACUUCAGGAAACUGGGGCUAAUACAGGAUAGGAGCUCUUGCUGCAUGGUGGGGGUUGGAAAGUUUCGGCGGUUGGGGAUGGACUCGCGGCUUAUCAGCUUGUUGGUGGGGUAGUGGCUUACCAAGGCUUUGACGGGUAGCCGGCCUGAGGGGGUGACCGGCCACAUUGGGACUGAGGUACGGCCCAGACUCCUACGGGAGGCAACAGUGGGGAAUAUUGCACAAUGGGCGGAAGCCUGAUGCAGCAACGCCGCGUGCGGGAUGACGGCCUUCGGGUUGUAAACCGCUUUCGCCUGUGACGAAGCGUGAGUGACGGUAAUGGGUAAAGAAGCACCGGCUAACUACGUG
This 468-nucleotide ribosomal RNA is filed under the name uncultured bacterium. RNAcentral's name for it is "partial 16S ribosomal RNA". It matches the Rfam family "Bacterial small subunit ribosomal RNA", at positions 28 to 507 of the family's 1533-position model. The record is from RNAcentral.